This 2865-nucleotide long non-coding RNA is filed under the name Medicago truncatula (barrel medic). Its description in RNAcentral is "long non-coding RNA (MTRU_LNC007040)". Lineage: Eukaryota; Viridiplantae; Streptophyta; Magnoliopsida; Fabales; Fabaceae. The record is from RNAcentral.
UAUUUUUGUCCAAUCCAGUCACUAGUCUUAACCUAAUUUGUCACUAUAAAUAAACUCCCAAUCAUUGGAGAGAGGAGGCUGCACUGUUCACACACGGACACACCAAUCAUUGGCAGCCGCACCAAUUAAAGCAACAAACCCUAAUUUUCUUCCUUUCUUCAAUCUUUAGAAUCAAAACAAACAAAAAUCAUCAAAAGUCAUGAACAACCUAUGAAUGUCCAUCGUGAUCUCUUUUCACCUUUGUCGCGUCAUUUUUUGGAGAUCAAGGCUAUUUGAUUAGCUUUUGACUCACUAAUUAUUUCACGACUGAACAUUUAAUUUUAUUAAGAGAAGGGGAAAAAAGUUCAAACUACCCCUAUUUGAAAAGAUUUAGGGUUCGGGGGUUAGUUACAUAAAGGGAAGGUAUUAGCACCCUCUAUGUCCGCAGUACUCUACGGGAACCUCUUGGUUUUAUUUAAUUCAAUGUGCUAUAACUUGCUUGCUUUUGAAAAGAAGGAAUUAAUGUGAUGAAAAAGAAAAUAAAGUGAGACCUAAUUUAUCUACAUUUUUUAUUGUUUGGAAGGACGAGUGUCCUCUGCCUACGUACCCGUGAAGGAUCAAAACCUCGUAGUUCGGGGUAGAAAACAACGUUUGAUUGGUUUUGUGUUUUUUAUUAGUUUUGAAAAAGGUUUUAAAAAUAAAAGCCAAGUGGCAAAUAAGAAUUUGUUUGUAUUUUUUUAUUAAAAAAAAGGAGAUAACUCGAAGUAUGAUUAAAUUGAUUGAUAUUUGAUUAAAAAUAAAAUGAAAAAAAGGACGAUCACUUGAUUUAGGAUCAAGGUUUAUUAUGGAAAAAUGUUUUUUUUGGUUUUUUGGUUAUUUGCAUGUUUUUGUGAUUUUUGAAUAAAUAUAUAAACUAACGGAGCAUAAAGAAUAAAAGCGCGGCUACCCUAAGUUAGAGAUAUAAAAUCUAUGACUAUUACAUAAAAAGCCUAUUUACAUUCUAAGGUCUGCAAUAAAAUUAAAAUGCUAAGAUAAAUAAAUAAAUACGAAAAAAGAAUAAAAAAAAGGUCCAAACACAUGGUGGGGUGCAGUGGUAAACAGGGGUGUGCAGAAAGCAGAAAAAAAAGAAUUGGGCUUAAGGAAACGAACCGGGUCGCGGGUCAUGGGUCAUGGGUCGACCCGGUUUAGGGAUAUAUAAGGGUUGUAAACCCUAAUUCCUUCAUUUCUUCUCCCUCCUUCUCUCUCUUCCGUCCCCUUCUCUCUCUAGCUCUCUUCUUCUCCGGCGGAGUGUGUGGGGCGGCCGGGAGAAUUCCGGCGCGGUGGCCGGCGAGCCAUCGCGGCUGCGCCGCCGCGCCGGAGCUAAAAAAGCUCCCUUUUUUUUAUUUUUUUUCGCUCUUUCUCUUCUACUUCCCUCCCUCCGUUCACUUCUAAACCUAGAUGUUCAAAAACAUACACACAGAGACCUAGAUCUAAAGGUAAAGAAAAUACUACCUCUUUUUGUUUUUUGUGAAUCCGGUUUUGUUAUGGUGCUGGCUUGCGAUUCCCUUUUGUGCGUGCGUUACCGUCUGUGUGUGUGCCCGGUUCGUGGUGUGAUUGUCGCUGUUGUGACGGUUUGGGGUUGCGCGCCUCUGUGUGUGCGUGUGUGUGUUGUGUUGCGCGCCGGUUCUGCCUUCUUCUUUGGAUCUUGUUGUUGUUGUUUAUCGCUUGCGAUUGCUCCUGCUUCUGUUGCUUUUCUGUGUUUCUCUGUAUGUGUUUGUUGUGCGAUGCCGUCCUCUGCUUUUUUUCGUGUUUUUCUUGUGUUGUGCAGGUCUCUAUUUAUAGCACUGGGUUGGGGCUAGGGUUUGUUGAGAAUGAGCAGAAAAUCAGUAGCUUGUGGAGGAGAAAAGGGACUUGUUUCUGUUCCGUUUUUUGCAGAUAAGGCUGGGAAUUGGAUUGGGAUGGAGAAAGAAAGGAAACGCGUACUGGAUUUGUUUCAGAGGAAGUGUGAACUGGAUUCGGACUGGAACAGCAUACGCGUGAUGCUGUUAUUCUGAACCUGGACACUUUUGGACUUUGGACUUUUUGGACUUAAAAAGAAAAAAUAAUUAAAAGGAUAAUAUCUACAUUUUUGGUUUUAAAUAACAAGAAAAAUUUAAAAUGGGAAUAAAAGAAAUUUAAUCUAACUUGGACUAAAAUUAAAAUUAGAGUUCUAAAUUAAAAGAUGGAAAUAAAUAAUUAAAGACUGAGAGAAGAGGGCCCGAUUCGGAACUUUAUGAGGUAUUUCAAAAUACCUCCCUGCCGAAUUUUUUACUGAAAUGUGAGUCUGGUCCGAGUUCGGGGACGUGUGUCAGUGGGACCUUAGGUCAAAAUUUGGGGUAUGACAACCUUCCUUUUAGAAUCAAUCAUAAAUCUCAACAAACCACAACAAUAACUUGUUUCCUCUCUACUAAUCCAACACGUUUCCGGCGACGAGAUUAAACUCACCAACAAUAAAUCGGAUCGGAGCGUGAAGGAAGAAGAAGAAAUCGAACCGGCCUUACAACGCUGAAGCACAAACCGAAUCGGCUCCUCCUUGUUAGAGCAGAUCGGAAUCCGAGGUAAAGAAUGUAGUAUUUUAUUUUCGUGUUGUUUGAUUGUAGAUCUAGAACGUGUUGUUGCUUUUCUUUGAAAUCUAAGUCCGGAUCUAUCAUCUACACGAAAAAGGAUAUAAUAAUAUGUAAUUGUUUUUGAAAAAGGAGUGUUUUGAAAACUCCGGCACGGUGGUACACCACCGGCCACCGUGCCGGGAUUUGAAAUCUCGUCGGAGAAGAAGGAGUUUGGGGGCGGUGAUUUUUCUAGAGAGAAGGAGGAAGUUUUUGUUUAGAGAGAGAAAGUAAUAUAUGUUAUGUUUUUUUGUUAAGGAAUUUG